This 333-nucleotide long non-coding RNA is filed under the name Cavia porcellus (domestic guinea pig). RNAcentral describes it as "lncRNA (ENSCPOG00000035703.1)". The record is from RNAcentral. Lineage: Eukaryota; Metazoa; Chordata; Mammalia; Rodentia; Caviidae.
CAGCAACCCUGAGAAAACUGAAGGAGGCAGGAUUGAAACUCAUGAAUAAAGGAGGCUUCAGAUGAUUCAAGACCAGGCCCUCCUCCCAAGAAAGUAGCGCAGGUGAAGACAUUCAUCACCCACAGAGACCCUGAGAGGCAACGAGGGAUCAGCAGUAACUAUGCUUGGACGAUAAUGGACACAGGCCAGCAAGUCCUGGGCAAAACCUGUGUGAUCACCUUGAUGGCAUCUAUUUAUCUAGGAGCCUGAAGCACGGUCAUGUAGCAGGUACUCUGAACAGAGCUGGCCUUCCCAGUAGCCCUCACCGCAAAGACUGGCACACCUGACCCUGGC